This is an RNA transcript of Acipenser ruthenus (sterlet), 3521 nucleotides long. It is a transcript of the gene named Bardet-Biedl syndrome 2, with no coding region annotated. Lineage: Eukaryota; Metazoa; Chordata; Actinopteri; Acipenseriformes; Acipenseridae. The record is from RefSeq and is a predicted model, not a curated record. The transcript has 18 exons.
AUGGUAAUCGCAGCACAGCGUUGGGAGCGCUUUUUCGAGGCGAGGUCUGGUUGCAGAAUGCGCCGAUGCGUAGCAAAGCAGUUUAGCAUCCGAGCGUCUCGUGUCGAGUCACCAGACACGUCUGCGGUGAAGAGUUACACAGGGUGGUGACGUCACCGCAUUACAGUGCGCACGCAUUAGAUUUUCUACACACCUGUGUGUAUAUUUAUUUAGUUCAAAAACUGCGGAAGCCGCCUUUCUGUUUGGAAAUCGAGUCUGACGUAACCAUGCUUGUCCCAGUCUUCACACUGAAGUUAAACCACAAAAUCAACCCCCACAUGGUGACUGUGGGGAAGUAUGAUGGGAUGCACCCCUGCCUGACAGCAGCCACUCAGGCAGGGAAAGUCUUCAUUCACAAUCCACACACACGUGGCCAGCGGCUUUCAUCCAGUCGCAUUACUCAAAGCACGCAGGACUCGGACAUAUCCCUCCUCAAUAUAAACCAGGCUGUGAGCUGCCUGGCCUCGGGAGUGUUCAACCCAUCACACGAGCAUCACUCUCUCCUGGUGGGAACACAGACAGACCUGCUAGCCUACGAUGUGCACAAUAACUCUGACGUCUUUUACAGAGAGGUUGCAGAUGGAGCCAACGCAAUAGUGCUUGGGCAGCUAGGUGGAAUCUCCCCUCCUCUUGCAAUAAUUGGUGGGAACUGUGCCCUCCAGGGCUUCGAUCAUGAGGGAAAUGACCUUUUCUGGACGGUUACUGGAGAUAAUGUCCGCUCAUUAUGUCUUUGUGACUUUACCGGCGAUGGAAACAAUGAGCUUCUAGUUGGUUCAGAAGAUUAUGAUAUUCGAGUUUUUAAGGAAGAUGAAAUGAUGGCAGAAAUGACAGAAACAGAGACUGUGACAUCUCUUUGCCAUAUGCAUGGCAGCCGGUUUGGGUAUGCUUUAGCCAAUGGCACAGUUGGCGUGUAUGAUCGGACUGCACGUUAUUGGAGGAUAAAGUCCAAAAAUCAAGCGAUGAGUAUCCAUGCAUUCGAUUUGAACUCUGAUGGUGUGUGUGAGCUGAUCACAGGCUGGUCUAAUGGAAAGAUCGAUGCACGCAGUGACCGCACCGGAGAGGUUAUCUUUAAAGAUAACUUCACUUCCUCAGUUGCUGGGGUUGUUGAAGGAGAUUACAGGAUGGAUGGACAGAUUCAACUUAUCUGCACUUCCGUUGAGGGGGAAGUGCGGGGAUAUUUACCAGCCAGCAAAGAGAUGAAGGGAAAUCUUAUGGAUGCAAGUGUUGAACAAGAUCUGAUUCGAGAGCUCAGUAACCGAAAACAAAACUUACUGCUUGAACUACGAAACUAUCAGGAAAACUCAAAGGCUGGAACAGGGUCAAAGAAAAAGGAGAAGGAAGGACAAAUGGGAGUUAUUCCUGCAAACACCCAGUUACAGACAGCUCUAUCUGUCAACGCCGGCUCUGAAAACCAAAAACCUAGCGUAGACCUAACCAUUUCCACAUCAAAUGACACAAUUAUCCGUGCUGUUCUCAUAUUUGCUGAGGGGAUAUUUGAAGGGGAAAGUCACGUCGUACACCCCAGUGCGCAGAACCUUUCAGGCUGCAUUCGAGUCCCCAUCAUUCCUCCGAAAGACGUUCCUGUCGAUUUACACAUCAAAGCCUUCGUGGGCGGAAAAAGCAGUACUCAGUUUCAUGUGUUUGAGCUAACCAGGCAGCUGCCCCGCUUCUCCAUGUAUGCCUUGUGUACGCAAGGGUCUGCUCCCAAACCCAGGGGCAAAGCCACCUUCUCCAUCAACGACCGCCUGCAGAGGGUUGUAAUGUGGUUAAACCAAAAUUUCUUGCUUCCAGAGGAUAUUGAGGUUCCUGACGUCUGUUUCACUUCUCUCCGGGGAGCAGGACAGCUGUGCAUUAAAAUAGAACAAAGUGGGGAGAUUACAGUGAACACGGAUGACAUGGAUCUUGCUGGAGAUGUUAUUCAGUCUCUGUCAUCGUUUCUGGCUAUUGAAGACCUCAAUGUAGAUGCAGAUUUCCCAGACUAUUUUGAAGAGGUUCGGAACACUCUAGUUCAGGUGGACGAGUACCAUUCGGUGCAUCAGAGACUGACAGCAGAGAUGGCUGACCACUCCAACCUCAUACGAAACAUGUUGGUUCAAGCAGAAGAUGCACGUCUGAUGGGGGACAUGAAAACAAUGAAGAAGCGAUAUAUUGAGUUGUUCGACCUGAACAGAGAUUUGGUAAACGGUUACAAAAUUCGAUCCAACAACCACGCUGAGCUCCUGAACUGCUUGAGAGCUGUGAAUCAGGCGAUACAGAGGGCUGGACGAUUACGGGGUAAGUGAUGUGAGAGCUGUGAAUCAGGCGAUACAGAGGGCUGGACGAUUACAGGGUAAGUGAUGUGAGAGCUGUGAAUCAGGCGAUACAGAGGGCUGGACGAUUACAGGGUAAGUGAUGUGAGAGCUGUGAAUCAGGCGAUACAGAGGGCUGGACGAUUACAGGGUAAGUGAUGUGAGAGCUGUGAAUCAGGCGAUACAGAGGGCUAGACGAUUACAGGGUAAGUGAUGUGAGAGCUGUGAAUCAGGCGAUACAGAGGGCUGGACGAUUACGGGUUGGAAAACCAAAGAAUCAAGUGAUUACUGCAUGUAGGGAUGCCAUCAAGAACAACAAUGUGAAUGCACUCUUCAAGAUAAUGCGCGCUGGCAUUCAGUCCUGCUAACUGCGAUCACUCCAAUGGCUGCGGUAUGGAGAAGAAACUCAGGUUAAUGGCUGUCUGAGAGGAAUCUCAUUGCAAAGAUGUGUUUCUGCAUCAAAUAAGAAUCUCUAAAAAAAAAAAAUAAUAAAAUCAAUAGGGACUUGUUAUGUCAACAUUUAUAAAAUAACUACAAGUAAUAUUGUUUUAAAAUAAAAUACAUUGUAUCCGCCAGUAUUUUUAGUAAGUAGCAUUUAAUUAAGUUCAGCUCUUUUUUUUUUUUUUUCCCCCAGGUGGACAGAAGAGCUGUAUUGAUAAAGCAUUAGUGUAGCAAUAAAUGUGUUGGGCUGCAUUGCAAUUACUGGUGUACUAAGGCUUAAUGAAUACUAUGCACAAAUCUGUCCAAAAUGUAUGUAAAUGUUUGCUGUAGCCAAAGAGAGCAUAUGUUUUCAGUUUAGCGAGAAUGGCUGGAUUUUAAAAGAGAUCGAUGGUGAAUUAGUGUGUUACACUCUUUUUAGCUUGGAAAAAAGCAGUUCGAUUUUGGAUCUGGUUUUCUACAUAAACAUUAUCUAUGAAAAGGUAACCCUGUUUUUUUUUUUCUUUUGUAAAUACUUUGGUAUAUCUUUUUUGUUAUGUGUAUCAAAAACAAGCCUGUUUAUUAAUGGCAGUGCACAAAUGGCCUGAAUAUCCAGGUGUAUCCUUGACUGUAUGUAUUACAAUAACCUUGUCUGUCUUGUGUGGUUUCCUAUGUUUUGUUUGUAAUAGUAAAUUAUUUUCUAUCACCGUUUUACAUGUUUUGUUUAUAAAAAUCUGUGUAUUCCGUUAUUAAAAAUAUGUCUAUAUAUCCAGUGUA